This 459-nucleotide ribosomal RNA is filed under the name uncultured bacterium. RNAcentral describes it as "SSU rRNA". It matches the Rfam family "Bacterial small subunit ribosomal RNA", at positions 26 to 518 of the family's 1533-position model. The record is from RNAcentral.
AGAAUCAACGCUGGCGGCGUGCCUAACACAUGCAAGUCGAACGAGAAAGGGUAGCAAUACCUGAGUAAAGUGGCGCACGGGUGAGUAACACGUGACUAACCUACCCUGGAGUGGGGGAUAACUGAGGGAAACCUUAGCUAAUACCGCAUAAUACCUACGGGUCAAAGGAGCAAUUCGCUUCAGGAGGGGGUCGCGGCCGAUUAGUUAGUUGGCGGGGUAAUGGCCCACCAAGACGAUGAUCGGUAUCCGGCCUGAGAGGGCGCACGGACACACUGGAACUGAAACACGGUCCAGACUCCUACGGGAGGCAGCAGUGGGGAAUUUGCGCAAUGGGGGAAACCCUGACGCAGCAACGCCGCGUGGAGGAUGAAGUCCUUCGGGACGUAAACUCCUUUCGAUCGGGACGAUUAUGACGGUACCGGAAGAAGAAGCCCCGGCUAACUUCGCGCCAGCAGCCGC